This 253-nucleotide ribosomal RNA is filed under the name uncultured bacterium. RNAcentral describes it as "partial 16S ribosomal RNA". It matches the Rfam family "Bacterial small subunit ribosomal RNA", at positions 524 to 776 of the family's 1533-position model. The record is from RNAcentral.
UACGAAGGGGGCUAGCGUUGCUCGGAAUCACUGGGCGUAAAGCGCACGUAGGCGGCUUUUUAAGUCAGGGGUGAAAUCCUGGAGCUCAACUCCAGAACUGCCUUUGAUACUGAGAAGCUUGAGUUCGGGAGAGGUGAGUGGAACUGCGAGUGUAGAGGUGAAAUUCGUAGAUAUUCGCAAGAACACCAGUGGCGAAGGCGGCUCACUGGCCCGAUACUGACGCUGAGGUGCGAAAGCGUGGGGAGCAAAUGGG